Aphidius gifuensis is the source of this 144-nucleotide long non-coding RNA. RefSeq lists it as uncharacterized. Lineage: Eukaryota; Metazoa; Arthropoda; Insecta; Hymenoptera; Braconidae. The transcript has 2 exons. The record is from RefSeq and is a predicted model, not a curated record.
AAGGUAUAAAUAAUUUUUUCAAAAAAUUAUUAAAAAUGAAAACAAAAGAUAAAAAGAUAAAUAAUACUUCAGAAGAAUCCUGUGAAAUUAUGGAUAAUAAAAAUAUUAAAAAAAGAAAAUCAAAAGAUGAGUCUCCAAUCAAAG